Molecule: unclassified non-coding RNA, 573 nt
Filed under: Memecylon sp. 26 RDS-2013
Lineage: Eukaryota; Viridiplantae; Streptophyta; Magnoliopsida; Myrtales; Melastomataceae
Description: partial external transcribed spacer
Source: RNAcentral
GCAUGGCUUGUAUCGAUCACAUACUGAUGUGUCUGAUGUUUUAUGAGUGGGUUUCCCCUCGUUAGCCGAUGGCUUGUUGGUGGUGGUUGAUCUUUCGAUGGGAUGAUGCAUGAGUGGUUAUUAGGAUGUGCUUUCAUGCAGGCUCUGCGUAGCAUACGUCGAACUGUGUGGAGUCAACCGUUUCAGUAAUCCGUUGUGCUUGUGUUUUGCUCGUUGCAAAAUGAUCGGGUGGUUUCUGUGUUGGGUACUGAUUAUGGUAUGCGGGAUUUGAUGGAAUCCAUUGUUCUUUGUUCUCCCGCCAUUGGCUUGUCCAGUGAAGGGGGAUGUUAUAUCGGUCUCUCAUGUUCCUCACAAGUUAGCCCCUUAUGGGAGUGGAUUUGUGAUGGCUCAUGGGCGGCUGUCUAUGCUCUUGGAUAUGUGAAAUAUUUGGUUGUUGUUCGGGUCUUUGACCCAUACGGUAUCAUUUCUUGAGCAUGUAGCUUUAUUUUGUAUGACCCUCGAGCUUGUUCUUGAGCUCACCGAGCCGUAGUGCUUGUUGUUCAUCAGGGAGAUGUCGAGGUCCAUGAGUAAUGC